CCGCGUGAGGGAUGACGGCCUUCGGGUUGUAAACCUCUUUCAGCAGGGAAGAAGCGAAAGUGACGGUACCUGCAGAAGAAGCGCCGGCUAACUACGUGCCAGCAGCCGCGGUAAUACGUAGGGCGCGAGCGUUGUCCGGAAUUAUUGGGCGUAAAGAGCUCGUAGGCGGCUUGUCACGUCGGUUGUGAAAGCCCGGGGCUUAACCCCGGGUCUGCAGUCGAUACGGGCAGGCUAGAGUUCGGUAGGGGAGAUCGGAAUUCCUGGUGUAGCGGUGAAAUGCGCAGAUAUCAGGAGGAACACCGGUGGCGAAGGCGGAUCUCUGGGCCGAUACUGACGCUGAGGAGCGAAAGCGUGGGGAGCGAACAGGAUUAGAUACCCUGGUAGUCCACGCCGUAAACGGUGGGCACUAGGUGUGGGCGACAUUCCACGUCGUCCGUGCCGCAGCUAACGCAUUAAGUGCCCCGCCUGGGGAGUACGGCCGCAAGGCUAAAACUCAAAGGAAUUGACGGGGGCCCGCACAAGCGGCGGAGCAUGUGGCUUAAUUCGACGCAACGCGAAGAACCUUACCAAGGCUUGACAUACACCGGAAACGUCCAGAGAUGGGCGCCCCCUUGUGGUCGGUGUACAGGUGGUGCAUGGCUGUCGUCAGCUC
Molecule: ribosomal RNA, 652 nt
Filed under: Streptomyces sp. 2 TKIRK4
Lineage: Bacteria; Bacillati; Actinomycetota; Actinomycetes; Kitasatosporales; Streptomycetaceae
Description: bacterial SSU rRNA
Rfam family: Bacterial small subunit ribosomal RNA
Source: RNAcentral